Pongo pygmaeus (Bornean orangutan) is the source of this 816-nucleotide long non-coding RNA. RefSeq lists it as uncharacterized. The transcript has 8 exons. The record is from RefSeq and is a predicted model, not a curated record. NCBI's taxonomy places the organism in Eukaryota, Metazoa, Chordata, Mammalia, Primates, Hominidae.
GCUGAGUCUCCCUCUAAGAGUAAAAAACAUGCUGCCAUCAAAUAUAUAAGCUUCCGCUGCUUCAAAACGGCGUGCAGGAAUCAGAGACAUUACAUCAGGAAGAUACUGCAGAGAUAUUCUACUCCAUCUCAUUCAUUGUACAGAUGGGACUGUCUAGUUGCAGGAAAACAAGCUCAGGGCUCCCACGGAUUCUACAUUAUGGGAGAAACAUGACAGAAGUCAGCUGCUCUAGAAUCAACAGACUCCUCUCCAGUUGGCAUCCCACCAUACAGCAGUGGCGUCAUACGUUCAUACAUAUGCUGCAGCCCAAGGGGGAGGAUCAUCAACGCAGGAGGCACCCACAGGUGCCUCUCAGAGGUGGUGAAAGAGGAAGUGGGGGCAGGCAGAGGUGUCCCAGCUAAGAAUUAUGUGAGGUUGAGGGAAAAAUUGUUUUUUCUCCCUGGAAAAGUAAAGCUCCCUGAAUCUUCCUGUGACGAUGUAUAUAUAAUAGAAAAGAAAUACAGUUUACACACACACACAUACACAAUUCUCACUCAACCACAGAGGCACCCAGAGAUAAAUCAUGCUGGGAAUCCCAUUUCCCUUCAUCAGGAUUAGCCUGGGAUUCUAAACUCCCUGAAGGAGACAAAUUACCAGUGGACAAGAACACAGCCUCUGGAGUCCAAUAGACCUGGUGUAUUCAUUAGGGCUUAAUGUGAAUACAAUGAGAUGACAUGCGUAAGUGCCCGGUAUAUAGGAGGUGCUCUGAAGAUGCUGCCAACUCCCCCUUGGAUUUCUUUGUUCCUAAAGUCAAGCUCAGUGAUCGUACAUAGUAGG